CGGAAAGAAGACCAGGACACAAGUUUUAUCACGCGGGUGGAUAUGCUCCUGUUUUUCUCUGCGGCCGCCCCGCCCACCCACUUCCUUCGCCUGCGGUCUGAGCGGGGGUGGAGGGGACUCCCAGGCUGCAUGCCGACCCUGGAGUCACCUUGGCAGCGAGGCUGGCAUUUCUUCUGCCCCCGCCCCACCGCCGUGGCCGCGCUGGGCACUGGGCACCUGGCACCAGAGUGGACGCGGCUCCAGGUGCGGCUGUAAGUGGAGAGGCCUGGAUGGGACGCAGAGGGUGACCCCCGGGGACCUCACCCCCCCUUCCCCAUCCUCCCACCUUCAGGGUCCCCAGACUCGCAGCGUGGGAGGAGAAGUGGGCGCCCCCGCCCAUCCCCACCCCCCAACACAGAGCUCUCUAAGCCCGGGGCUCAGAGUCCACCUGGAAGGACAGGGCGUGGGCGGCGUCCAGCCCAAGGGCAGUCCAGACCUGGAAUCUCGCGCCUGCACUGUGGAGAAAGGCUGCCCGGACACCCAGGACUUACUGUUAACCACCAAAACCACUGAAGGGCAACGUGUAUGAGGUUCCAUGAUAAAAAUGGAUCUUCUU
Phyllostomus hastatus (greater spear-nosed bat) is the source of this 595-nucleotide long non-coding RNA. RefSeq lists it as uncharacterized. The record is from RefSeq and is a predicted model, not a curated record. The transcript has 3 exons. NCBI's taxonomy places the organism in Eukaryota, Metazoa, Chordata, Mammalia, Chiroptera, Phyllostomidae.